CCAAGCAGCUGGGAUUACAGGCAUGUGCCACCACGCUCGGCUAAUUUUGUAUUUUUAGUAGCGACGGGUUUCACCAUGUUGGCCAGGCUGGUCUCGAACUCCUGACCUCAGGUGAUCCGCCCGCCUUGGCCUCCCGAAGUGCUGGGAUUACAGGCGUGAGCCACCAUGCCCUGCCACACCCCUAUAAUUUUAUAUCCAACCAAUCAGCAGCACUCAUUUUCUAGCCCCUUGCCCACCAAAUUGUCCGCAAAAACCCUAACCUUCAAGCCUUGGGAGAGACUAAUUUGAGUAGUAACUCCGUCUCAAAUGUGGUUGGCGUCACAUUAAUUAAACUCUUUUUUUAUGGCAAUACCAUGGUCUCAGUGAACUGGUUUUGUCUGUGCAGUGGGCAGGAAGAAUCCAUCAGGCAAUCAAAAUUUCUACUUUUUUUUUUUUUUUUUUUUUUUGAGACAGAGUCUCGCUCCGUCACCCAGACUGGAGUGCAAUGGUGAGAUCUCGGCUCACUGCAACCUCCGCCUCCCGGGGUCAAGCAAGUCUCUUGCCUCAGCCUCCUGAGUAGCUGAGAUUACAGGCAUGCACCACCACGCCUGGCUAAUUUUUGUAUUUUUAGUAGAGAUGGGCUUCACCAUGUUGGUCAGGCUGGUCUCAAACUCCUGACCUCAGGUGAUCUGCCCUCCUCGGCCUCCCAAAGUGCUGGGAUUACAGGCUGAGCCACCGCACCCAGCCCACAUAAUUUUGUAAAAAAAAAUAAUAAUAAUAAGCAGCUCAGAGUAAAAAAGAAAAUGCCUAAGUACACACACAAAAUCCAAGUACCAUGUAUUAGAAGCAGUAUGAACAACAGAUAGAGUGAACAGACUUGCAAAUAGUUCAAUACUGGAAUUUCAGACAUUGAUUUAUAUAAUAAGUAUGUGGCCAGGUGAGGUGGCUCAUGCCUGUAAUCCCAGCACUUUGGGAGGCUGAGGCGGGAAAAUCACCUGACGUCAGAAAAUUGAGACCAGCCUGGCC
RNAcentral lists this long non-coding RNA (1005 nucleotides) under Homo sapiens (human). RNAcentral describes it as "non-protein coding lnc-FBXO45-6:1". The record is from RNAcentral. Lineage: Eukaryota; Metazoa; Chordata; Mammalia; Primates; Hominidae.